CAGUCGCCACGGUAAUACGAAGGGUGCAAGCGUUACUCGGAAUUACUGGGCGUAAAGCGUGCGUAGGUGGUGGUUUAAGUCCGUUGUGAAAGCCCUGGGCUCAACCUGGGAAUUGCAGUGGAUACUGGGUCACUAGAGUGUGGUAGAGGAUAGUGGAAUUUCCGGUGUAGCAGUGAAAUGCGUAGAGAUCGGAAGGAACAUCUGUGGCGAAGGCGACCAUCUGGGCCAACACUGACACUGAGGCACGAAAGCGUGGGGAGCAAACAGGAUUAGAUACCCCCGUAGUCCCUGUCUCUUAUAC
This 301-nucleotide ribosomal RNA is filed under the name uncultured bacterium. RNAcentral describes it as "partial 16S ribosomal RNA". It matches the Rfam family "Bacterial small subunit ribosomal RNA", at positions 509 to 807 of the family's 1533-position model. The record is from RNAcentral.